Molecule: long non-coding RNA, 310 nt
Filed under: Medicago truncatula (barrel medic)
Lineage: Eukaryota; Viridiplantae; Streptophyta; Magnoliopsida; Fabales; Fabaceae
Description: lncRNA gene37755
Source: RNAcentral
UUAAUUGAUUACACGGUGCAUUAGUUAUAAUUUUUGUCACUAAUUUUUGAAUGAAUAGUGAUAUUUGAACAACCAUUUUAGAUAAUUUUUGGUACAAUUUCUUUUUUCUCACCUUUCAUUGGUCAACAAUGGAUUGGGGGUUCAAAACUGUCAAAGAAUCAAAAUAUAGGGGGCUGUUUUGUAUUUAAAUUAGUUAGGGAUCCAUAACUGCAAUUUUUGGAAAAAUAGGGGUUUAAAGUGCAAUUAAGUCUAAAUACGAAUAUGCAUAAUAAAAGAAAAGAAGAUCAACAUAUGAAACUUUCGAAGCACA